This 416-nucleotide ribosomal RNA is filed under the name uncultured bacterium. RNAcentral's name for it is "bacterial SSU rRNA". It matches the Rfam family "Bacterial small subunit ribosomal RNA", at positions 40 to 502 of the family's 1533-position model. The record is from RNAcentral.
CGGCACGCCUAAACAUGCAAGUCGAACGAAGUAGCAAUACUUAGUGGCAGACGGGUGAGUAACAUGUAGGUAUCUGCCCUUUGGCCUGGAAUAACACGAGGAAACUUGUGCUAAUACCGGAUAAGUCUUUACGGAGAAAGCUUUAUGCACCAUUGGAUGAGCCUGCACUUGAUUAGUUUGUUGGUAGGGUAAUGGCCUACCAAGACUGUGAUCAAUAGCUGAUUUGAGAGGAUGAUCAGCCACAUUGGGACUGAGACACGGCCCAAACUCCUACGGGAGGCAGCAGUGGGGAAUCUUGCACAAUGGAGGAAACUCUGAUGCAGCGAUGCCGCGUGAGUGAAGAAGGCCCUUGGGUUGUAAAGCUCUUUCGUCGGGGAAGAAAAUGACUGUACCCGAAUAAGAAGGUCCGGCUAACU